RNAcentral lists this ribosomal RNA (433 nucleotides) under uncultured bacterium. RNAcentral describes it as "bacterial SSU rRNA". It matches the Rfam family "Bacterial small subunit ribosomal RNA", at positions 958 to 1392 of the family's 1533-position model. The record is from RNAcentral.
AACGCGAAGAACCUUACCCAGACUUGACAUGCAGUGGAAUAUAGCAGAAAUGUUAUAGCCCUUCGGGGCCGCUGCACAGGUGCUGCAUGGCUGUCGUCAGCUCGUGCCGUGAGGUGUUGGGUUAAGUCCCGCAACGAGCGCAACCCUUAUCAUUAGUUGCCAACACGUGAAGGUGGGAACUCUAAUGAGACUGCCUGGGUUAACCAGGAGGAAGGUGAGGAUGACGUCAAGUCCGCAUGGCCCUUAUGUCUGGGGCUACACACGUGCUACAAUGGUCGGUACAGAAGGCAGCGAAACCGUGAGGUGAAGCAAAUCCCAAAAGCCGGCCUCAGUUCAGAUUGUAGUCUGCAACUCGACUACAUGAAGUUGGAAUUGCUAGUAAUGGCAGGUCAGCACACUGCCGUGAAUACGUUCCCGGGUCUUGUACACACCG